GGGGGUAUAGCUCAGUUGGUAGAGCGUCUGAUUUGCAUUCAGAAGGUCGCCGGUUCGAAUCCGACUAUCUCCACCA
This 76-nucleotide transfer RNA is filed under the name Bacteroidales bacterium. RNAcentral's name for it is "tRNA-Ala". It matches the Rfam family "tRNA". Rfam says of the family: Transfer RNA (tRNA) molecules are approximately 80 nucleotides in length. Their secondary structure includes four short double-helical elements and three loops (D, anti-codon, and T loops). The record is from RNAcentral. Lineage: Bacteria; Pseudomonadati; Bacteroidota; Bacteroidia; Bacteroidales.